AGUCGAACGGUAACAGGAAGCAGCUUGCUGCGUCGCUGACGAGUGGCGGACGGGUGAGUAAUGUCUGGGAAACUGCCUGAUGGAGGGGGAUAACUACUGGAAACGGUAGCUAAUACCGCAUAACGUCGCAAGACCAAAGAGGGGGACCUUCGGGCCUCUUGCCAUCGGAUGUGCCCAGAUGGGAUUAGCUAGUAGGUGGGGUAACGGCUCACCUAGGCGACGAUCCCUAGCUGGUCUGAGAGGAUGACCAGCCACACUGGAACUGAGACACGGUCCAGACUCCUACGGGAGGCAGCAGUGGGGAAUAUUGCACAAUGGGCGCAAGCCUGAUGCAGCCAUGCCGCGUGUAUGAAGAAGGCCUUCGGGUUGUAAAGUACUUUCAGCGGGGAGGAAGGCGACAGGGUUAAUAACCCUGUCGAUUGACGUUACCCGCAGAAGAAGCACCGGCUAACUCCGUGCCAGCAGCCGCGGUAAUACGGAGGGUGCAAGCGUUAAUCGGAAUUACUGGGCGUAAAGCGCACGCAGGCGGUCUGUCAAGUCGGAUGUGAAAUCCCCGGGCUCAACCUGGGAACUGCAUUCGAAACUGGCAGGCUAGAGUCUUGUAGAGGGGGGUAGAAUUCCAGGUGUAGCGGUGAAAUGCGUAGAGAUCUGGAGGAAUACCGGUGGCGAAGG
RNAcentral lists this ribosomal RNA (672 nucleotides) under uncultured Enterobacterales bacterium. RNAcentral describes it as "bacterial SSU rRNA". It matches the Rfam family "Bacterial small subunit ribosomal RNA", at positions 60 to 721 of the family's 1533-position model. The record is from RNAcentral. Lineage: Bacteria; Pseudomonadati; Pseudomonadota; Gammaproteobacteria; Enterobacterales.